This 497-nucleotide ribosomal RNA is filed under the name uncultured bacterium. RNAcentral's name for it is "partial 16S ribosomal RNA". It matches the Rfam family "Bacterial small subunit ribosomal RNA", at positions 28 to 507 of the family's 1533-position model. The record is from RNAcentral.
GAUGAACGCUGGCGGCGUGCCUAAUACAUGCAAGUCGAGCGAACGGACGAGAAGCUUGCUUCUCUGAUGUUAGCGGCGGACGGGUGAGUAACACGUGGAUAACCUACCUAUAAGACUGGGAUAACUUCGGGAAACCGGAGCUAAUACCGGAUAAUAUUUUGAACCGCAUGGUUCAAAAGUGAAAGACGGUCUUGCUGUCACUUAUAGAUGGAUCCGCGCUGCAUUAGCUAGUUGGUAAGGUAACGGCUUACCAAGGCAACGGUGCAUAGCCGACCUGAGAGGGUGAUCGGCCACACUGGAACUGAGACACGGUCCAGACUCCUACGGGAGGCAGCAGUAGGGAAUCUUCCGCAAUGGGCGAAAGCCUGACGGGGCAACGCCGCGUGAGUGAUGAAGGUCUUCGGAUCGUAAAACUCUGUUAUUAGGGAAGAACAUAUGUGUAAGUAACUGUGCACAUCUUGACGGUACCUAAUCAGAAAGCCACGGCUAACUACGUG